This 451-nucleotide long non-coding RNA is filed under the name Brassica napus (rape). RNAcentral's name for it is "long non-coding RNA (BNAP_LNC020863)". The record is from RNAcentral. Lineage: Eukaryota; Viridiplantae; Streptophyta; Magnoliopsida; Brassicales; Brassicaceae.
AACUAAAGAAAUAUUAAAUAAUUAUAUUAUACACACAUGCACAAAGAUCUACAGAUUCAUCAAAAGAUGAGAUAAUAUCUUAAAACACACUGCCUCCAUGACUCUUCUGGACUGUCAAAGCAUAGCCACUUCAUGUGGUUUCUAAACCAUUAGUUCCCUAACCAAUCAACUUUCGUUAAUGUACCUUUGUUCAUCCACCGUCCCUUGAAAGUAUAUUUUAUUUUAAGUUAUAAAUUCUUCAUGAGUUUACAAUUACACUCUAUUUAACGUCUUCGUCAGACACGAUCAUCCUUUUGCGAUGCGUAUAUGGUGAAACAAACUAAAAGGGUUUAAAUCUAUUAGUUAGUAGGAACUACUAUUAGCUCCCACCAUAUCUAAACACCAAACGUAAAAACUGCAUAAAAAUUGGUUCAUUCAUUCUUUGGUGAAAUAUCAGUUAUAUAUGCUGUUU